CAAGUGGUAGGAGAGCGUUCUAUUUGCGUCGAAGGUAUACCGACAAGGAGUGCUGGAGCGAAUAGAAGUGAGCAUGCAGGCAUGAGUAGCGAUAAUUAAUGUGAGAAUCAUUAACGCCGUAAACCCAAGGUUUCCUACGCGAUGCUCGUCAUCGUAGGGUUAGUCGGGUCCUAAGCUGAGUCCGAAAGGGGUAAGCGAUGGCAAAUAGGUUAAUAUUCCUAUACCAACAUUAGUGUGCGAUGGAAGGACGCUUAGGGCUAAGGGGGCUAGCGGAUGGAAGUGCUAGUCUAAGGUCGUAGGUGCUUACACAGGCAAAUCCGUGUAAGAAUACACCGAGAACUGAAAGGCUUUUCAAAGUCUUCGGACAGCGAGAAGAACCCCUGAUGCCGUCGAGCCAAGAAAAGUUUCUAAGUUUAGCUAAUGUUGCCCGUACCGUAAACCGACACAGGUGGGUGGGAUGAGUAUUCUAAGGCGCGUGGAAGAACUCUCUUUAAGGAACUCUGCAAAAUAGCACCGUAUCUUCGGUAUAAGGUGUGCCUCCCUUUGUAUUAGGAUUUACUCCGAAAGCAAAGAAGGUUACAACAAAGAGUCCCUCCCGACUGUUUACCAAAAACACAGCACUCUGCUAACUCGUAAGAGGAUGUAUAGGGUGUGACGCCUGCCCGGUGCUCGAAGGUUAAUUGAUGGGGUUAGCAUUAGCGAAGCUCUUGAUCGAAGCCCGAGUAAACGGCGGCCGUAACUAUAACGGUCCUAAGGUAGCGAAAUUCCUUGUCGGUUAAAUACCGACCUGCAUGAAUGGCGUAACGAGAUGGGAGCUGUCUCAAAGAGGGAUCCAGUGAAAUUGUAGUGGAGGUGAAAAUUCCUCCUACCCGCGGCAAGACGGAAAGACCCCGUGGACCUUUACUACAGCUUGACACUGCUAUUUGGAUAAGAAUGUGCAGGAUAGGUGGGAGGCUUUGAGUAUAUGACGCCAGUUGUAUAUGAGCCAUUGUUGAGAUACCACUCUUUCUUAUUUGGGUAGCUAACCAGCUUGAGUUAUCCUCAAGUGGGACAAUGUCUGGUGGGUAGUUUGACUGGGGCGGUCGCCUCCCAAAUAAUAACGGAGGCUUACAAAGGUUGGCUCAUAGCGGUUGGAAAUCGCUAGUAGAGUAUAAAGGUAUAAGCCAGCUUAACUGCAAGACAUACAAGUCAAGCAGAGACGAAAGUCGGUCUUAGUGAUCCGGUGGUUCUGUGUGGAAGGGCCAUCGCUCAAAGGAUAAAAGGUACCCCGGGGAUAACAGGCUGAUCUCCCCCAAGAGCUCACAUCGACGGGGAGGUUUGGCACCUCGAUGUCGGCUCAUCGCAUCCUGGGGCUGGAGCAGGUCCCAAGGGUAUGGCUGUUCGCCAUUUAAAGCGGUACGCGAGCUGGGUUCAGAACGUCGUGAGACAGUUCGGUCCCUAUCUGCCGUGGGCGUAAGAAGAUUGAAGAGAUUUGACCCUAGUACGAGAGGACCGGGUUGAACAAACCACUGGUGUAGCUGUUGUUCUGCCAAGAGCAUCGCAGCGUAGCUAAGUUUGGAAAGGAUAAACGCUGAAAGCAUCUAAGCGUGAAGCCAACUCUAAGAUGAAUCUUCUCUAAGCUCUCUAGAAGACGACUAGUUUGAUAGGCUGGGUGUGUAAUGGAUGAAAGUCCUUUAGCUGACCAGUACUAAUAGAGCGUUUGGCUUAUCUUAAA
RNAcentral lists this ribosomal RNA (1714 nucleotides) under Campylobacter vulpis. RNAcentral describes it as "partial 23S ribosomal RNA". It matches the Rfam family "Bacterial large subunit ribosomal RNA", at positions 1222 to 2925 of the family's 2925-position model. Lineage: Bacteria; Pseudomonadati; Campylobacterota; Epsilonproteobacteria; Campylobacterales; Campylobacteraceae. The record is from RNAcentral.